AACAAACGCUGGCGGCGUGUCUUAAGCAUGCAAGUUGAGCGGCAAGGAGGAGAGAUCCUCCCUAGAGCGGCGGACUGGUGAGUAACGCGUGGGUAAUCUAUCGUAGGCAUGGGGAUAGUCACUAGAAAUAGUGGGUAAUACCGAAUACGUUCCAUGAGGGGAGUACUUAUGGAAGAAAGGGUGCUACGGCACUGGCCUUAGGUGAGCUCGCGUCCCAUUAGCUAGUUGGUGAGGUAAAGGCCCACCAAGGCGAUGAUGGGUAGCCGGCCUGAGAGGGUGUACGGCCACACUGGGACUGAGAUACGGCCCAGACUCCUACGGGAGGCAGCAGCUAAGAAUAUUCCGCAAUGGACGAAAGUCUGACGGAGCGACGCCGCGUGGAUGAAGAAGGCCGAAAGGUUGUAAAGUCUUUUGCUAGGGAGAAUAAGUGAGGAGGGAAUGCCUCAUGAUGACAAGGACUAGCGAAUAAGCCCGGCCAACUACGUGCCAGC
Molecule: ribosomal RNA, 491 nt
Filed under: uncultured bacterium
Lineage: Bacteria
Description: bacterial SSU rRNA
Rfam family: Bacterial small subunit ribosomal RNA
Source: RNAcentral